CACUAGUGAUUGGUGUUCUUCCCGAUAUCUACACAUUCCACCGUUACACCGGGAAUUCCAGUCUCCCCUACCACACUCUAGCCUGCCCGUACCCGGCGCAGAUCCACCGUUAAGCGAUGGACUUUCACACCAGACGCGACAAACCGCCUACGAGCUCUUUACGCCCAAUAAUUCCGGAUAACGCUUGCACCCUACGUAUUACCGCGGCUGCUGGCACGUAGUUAGCCGGUGCUUAUUCGAAAGGUACACUCACUUGCGCUUGCUCCCUAACAAAAGCGGUUUACAACCCGAAGGCCGUCAUCCCGCACGCGGCGUCGCUGCAUCAGGCUUGCGCCCAUUGUGCAAUAUUCCCCACUGCUGCCUCCCGUAGGAGUCUGGGCCGUAUCUCAGUCCCUAUGUGGCCGGUCGCCCUCUCAGGCCGGCUACCCGUCGUAGGCUUGGUAGGCCAUUACCCCACCAACUACCUGAUAGGACGCGACCCCAUCCCAUACCGAUAAAUCUUUCCCACAAUCACAUGUGAUCAUGUGGAGCAUCCGGCAUUACCACCCGUUUCCAGGAGAAUCGAAUUC
Molecule: ribosomal RNA, 569 nt
Filed under: uncultured Bifidobacterium sp.
Lineage: Bacteria; Bacillati; Actinomycetota; Actinomycetes; Bifidobacteriales; Bifidobacteriaceae
Description: partial 16S rRNA
Source: RNAcentral